CAAAUUGAGAGUUUGAUCCUGGCUCAGGAUGAACGCUGGCGGCGUGCCUAAUACAUGCAAGUCGAACGCUUUGUGGUUCAACUGAUUUGAAGAGCUUGCUCAGAUAUGACGAUGAACAUUGCAAAGAGUGGCGAACGGGUGAGUAACACGUGGGAAACCUACCUCUUAGCAGGGGAUAACAUUUGGAAACAGAUGCUAAUACCGUAUAACAAUGACAACCGCAUGGUUGUUAUUUAAAAGAUGGUUCUGCUAUCACUAAGAGAUGGUCCCGCGGUGCAUUAGCUAGUUGGUAAGGUAAUGGCUUACCAAGGCGAUGAUGCAUAGCCGAGUUGAGAGACUGAUCGGCCACAAUGGGACUGAGACACGGCCCAUACUCCUACGGGAGGCAGCAGUAGGGAAUCUUCCACAAUGGGCGAAAGCCUGAUGGAGCAACGCCGCGUGUGUGAUGAAGGGUUUCGGCUCGUAAAACACUGUUGUAAGAGAAGAAUGACAUUGAGAGUAACUGUUCAAUGUGUGACGGUAUCUUACCAGAAAGGAACGGCUAAAUACGUGCCAGCAGCCGCGGUAAUACGUAUGUUCCAAGCGUUAUCCGGAUUUAUUGGGCGUAAAGCGAGCGCAGACGGUUAUUUAAGUCUGAAGUGAAAGCCCUCAGCUCAACUGAGGAAUUGCUUUGGAAACUGGAUGACUUGAGUGCAGUAGAGGAAAGUGGAACUCCAUGUGUAGCGGUGAAAUGCGUAGAUAUAUGGAAGAACACCAGUGGCGAAGGCGGCUUUCUGGACUGUAACUGACGUUGAGGCUCGAAAGUGUGGGUAGCAAACAGGAUUAGAUACCCUGGUAGUCCACACCGUAAACGAUGAGUGCUAGGUGUUUGAGGGUUUCCGCCCUUAAGUGCCGCAGCUAACGCAUUAAGCACUCCGCCUGGGGAGUACGACCGCAAGGUUGAAACUCAAAGGAAUUGACGGGGACCCGCACAAGCGGUGGAGCAUGUGGUUUAAUUCGAAGCAACGCGAAGAACCUUACCAGGUCUUGACAUCCCUUGACAACUCCAGAGAUGGAGCGUUCCCUUCGGGGACAAGGUGACAGGUGGUGCAUGGUUGUCGUCAGCUCGUGUCGUGAGAUGUUGGGUUAAGUCCCGCAACGAGCGCAACCCUUAUUACUAGUUGCCAGCAUUCAGUUGGGCACUCUAGUGAGACUGCCGGUGACAAACCGGAGGAAGGUGGGGAUGACGUCAAAUCAUCAUGCCCCUUAUGACCUGGGCUACACACGUGCUACAAUGGCGUAUACAACGAGUUGCCAACCCGCGAGGGUGAGCUAAUCUCUUAAAGUACGUCUCAGUUCGGAUUGUAGGCUGCAACUCGCCUACAUGAAGUCGGAAUCGCUAGUAAUCGCGGAUCAGCACGCCGCGGUGAAUACGUUCCCGGGUCUUGUACACACCGCCCGUCACACCAUGAGAGUUUGUAACACCCAAAGCCGGUGGGGUAACCUUCGGGAGCCAGCCGUCUAAGGUGGGACAGAUGAUUAGGGUGAAGUCGUAACAAGGUAGCCGUAGGAGAACCUGCGGCUGGAUCACCUCCUUU
RNAcentral lists this ribosomal RNA (1577 nucleotides) under Weissella confusa. RNAcentral's name for it is "bacterial SSU rRNA". It matches the Rfam family "Bacterial small subunit ribosomal RNA". Lineage: Bacteria; Bacillati; Bacillota; Bacilli; Lactobacillales; Lactobacillaceae. The record is from RNAcentral.